Molecule: ribosomal RNA, 468 nt
Filed under: uncultured bacterium
Lineage: Bacteria
Description: partial 16S ribosomal RNA
Rfam family: Bacterial small subunit ribosomal RNA
Source: RNAcentral
GACGAACGCUGGCGGCGUGCUUAACACAUGCAAGUCGAACGGUGAUGCUCCAGCUUGCUGGAGUGGAUCAGUGGCGAACGGGUGAGUAACACGUGAGCAACCUGCCCCAGACUCUGGAAUAAGCGCUGGAAACGGCGUCUAAUACUGGAUACGAAACUGGCCCGCAUGGGCAUGGUUUGGAAAGUUCUUCGGUUUGGGAUGGGCUCGCGGCCUAUCAGCUUGUUGGUGAGGUAAUGGCUCACCAAGGCUACGACGGGUAGCCGGCCUGAGAGGGCGACCGGCCACACUGGGACUGAGACACGGCCCAGACUCCUACGGGAGGCAGCAGUGGGGAAUAUUGCACAAUGGGCGAAAGCCUGAUGCAGCGACGCCGCGUGAGGGAUGACGGCCUUCGGGUUGUAAACCUCUUUCAGCAGGGAAGAAGCGAAAGUGACGGUACCUGCAGAAGAAGCACCGGCUAACUACGUG